GGAUCAUUACUGAGUUACCGCUCUAUAACCCUUUGUGAACAUACCUAACUGUUGCUUCGGCGGGUUAGGGGGUCCCCACCCGGGGACGCCCUCCCGGCCCCGCGCCCUCGUGGCGCGUGGCGCCCGCCGGAGGAUAACCAAACUCUAUUUUAACGACGUCUCUUCUGAGUGGCACAAGCAAAUAAUUAAAACUUUUAACAACGGAUCUCUUGGUUCUGGCAUCGAUGAAGAACGCAGCGAAAUGCGAUAAGUAAUGUGAAUUGCAGAAUUCAGUGAAUCAUCGAAUCUUUGAACGCACAUUGCGCCCGCCAGCAUUCUGGCGGGCAUGCCUGUUCGAGCGUCAUUUCAACCCUCAAGCUCCGCUUGGUGUUGGGGCCCUACGGCGUACGUAGGCCCUUAAAGGUAGUGGCGGACCCUCCCGGAGCCUCCUUUGCGUAGUAACUAACGUCUCGCAUCGGGAUUCGGAGGGACUCUUGCCGUAAAACCCCCAACUUUUUUACUGGUUGACCUCGGAUCAGGUAGGAAUACCCGCUGAACUUAAGCAUAUCAAUAAGCGGAGGAAAAGAAACCAACAGGGAUUGCCCCAGUAACGGCGAGUGAAGCGGCAACAGCUCAAAUUUGAAAUCUGGCCCCAGGCCCGAGUUGUAAUUUGCAGAGGAUGCUUUUGGCGCGGUGCCUUCCGAGUUCCCUGGAACGGGACGCCAUAGAGGGUGAGAGCCCCGUACGGUUGGACACCAAGCCUUUGUAAAGCUCCUUCGACGAGUCGAGUAGUUUGGGAAUGCUGCUCAAAAUGGGAGGUAUAUUUCUUCUAAAGCUAAAUAUUGGCCAGAGACCGAUAGCGCACAAGUAGAGUGAUCGAAAGAUGAAAAGCACUUUGAAAAGAGGGUUAAACAGCACGUGAAAUUGUUAAAAGGGAAGCGCUUGUGACCAGACUUGCGCCCGGUGAAUCACCCAGCUCUCGCGGCUGGGGCACUUCGCCGGCACAGGCCAGCAUCAGCUCGCCGUCGGGGACAAAAGCUUGGGGAACGUAGCUCUCUUCGGGGAGUGUUAUAGCCCCUUGCAUAAUACCCUUCGGCGGGCUGAGGUACGCGU
RNAcentral lists this ribosomal RNA (1092 nucleotides) under Sordariomycetes sp. genotype 282. RNAcentral describes it as "eukaryotic LSU rRNA". The stretch from base 505 to 1092 matches the Rfam family "Eukaryotic large subunit ribosomal RNA", at positions 1 to 600 of the family's 3401-position model. The record is from RNAcentral. Lineage: Eukaryota; Fungi; Ascomycota; Sordariomycetes.